CUUGAGUCUUCGCCACUGUCACGGCGGUCAUUUGUAUUCAUACCCACGCGGUGUCGCCGUCUUCCCAGAAGCAACCACUCCAUCCUAUCCCUUUCUAGUUUCUAUAUAAACCCUUUCAUUCCCUCCAAACUACUCCAUCUAUCCCUUCCCAUCUCUUUCUUACGCAUACACACAUCUUUCGUUUGUUUUUACGAUCAUAACCUUUUGCUCAAAGAUGAAUACUACAAGUGAGCCUGCAGCUGCACAAGGUCCUUAUGCUGCACAAGGUCCUUAUGUGGUACCACCACCGGCUGGUUAUCCUACAAAAGAUGACUCUCAGAAUCCUCCUCACGGCCCAGUGGAAACCAAGUCAAGGGGUGAAGGGUUCUGGAAGGGAUGUUGUGCUGCCUUGUGUUGCUGUUGUGUACUUGAUGCAUGCUUCUGAUCAUCAGAAUCGAGAGCUAGCAAUAUUAAAAAUUCUAGAAACCAUUGUUGUUUUAUUUGUUUUUUUUUUUUUUUUAAUCAAUACGGAACUUGGAUCAUUCUUGUGUGAAGAAUGGACCAUGCGAUUGGAUAAUUGUCAUGUUCUUGCCUUGACAGAGUUAUCCUUGCACUGUAAUUAUCACGAGUGAUGAUUUCCUUUUAGUGUUGUAUUCUUUUCGAUAUAUUGGUGAUACUGUUAUUGUUAUUUUGAUAAUAAUGCAAUAGAUAUAUUGCAAAAUGAUUCCAUUUU
Molecule: long non-coding RNA, 712 nt
Organism: Juglans regia (Persian walnut)
Lineage: Eukaryota; Viridiplantae; Streptophyta; Magnoliopsida; Fagales; Juglandaceae
Exons: 3
Source: RefSeq, a predicted model, not a curated record